GCUGCGCACUUCGGUCUUUUACGUCGGCCUUCGCGAGCGUCUGGGCGGGUGGUAGGAACAAUGGCGCUGUCUUCAGUGGCACAGUGGAGCAGCUCUGAAGAUGCAAAGUGAGGGUCGCUGUCUGCCCAUUGAUAGAGGCCAGAUUGUCUUGGAAGUUCCAAAGUUGCAACGAUUUCUGGCUAGUGCCACGAGGUUUACUUGACUGUUGUGUGAAAAGCUGAUAAGAAAACCAUCCAGAAAAAAGCUCUUCGUUUUACAAACAUGAAAAUAAAACAUGUAAUUUUGGAUUAUGUUCCUUUUUGUUAUUACUUUUAAAUAGGUCCUGAAAUAACAUGGGGAGCAUUAAAUGGAAAAUCCACUAACCA
Molecule: long non-coding RNA, 365 nt
Filed under: Homo sapiens (human)
Lineage: Eukaryota; Metazoa; Chordata; Mammalia; Primates; Hominidae
Description: HSALNT0335469
Source: RNAcentral